UCUCCGUUGGUGAACCAGCGGAGGGAUCAUUACUGAGUCUAACAAACUCCCAAACCCCUGUGAACAUACCUACUGUUGCUUCGGCGGGACCGCCCCGGGCGCCUUCGCGGUGCCCCGGAACCAGGCGCCUUCGCGGUGCCCCGGAACCAGGCGCCCGCCGGGGACAUCAAACUCUUGAUUGUUAUAGUGGCAUUCUCUGAGUAAAACAUACAAAUAAGUCAAAACUUUCAACAACGGAUCUCUUGGCUCUG
This 251-nucleotide unclassified non-coding RNA is filed under the name root metagenome. Its description in RNAcentral is "partial contains small subunit ribosomal RNA, internal transcribed spacer 1, and 5.8S ribosomal RNA". The record is from RNAcentral.